UGAUGAGUUUUCUGGUUCAGGCAUCAGUCUGCAAUUCAAGAAACCUACGUUCUAUUUCCAGUUCUGCUAUGACCUUGGACAAAUUGUUUGGCCUCUCUCUGUGCCUCAGAUCCUCAGCUAUGAAAUGGGAAUAAUAAUACAGCUGUCCCGCACAGGAGUGUUGGAAAGACAAAAGGAGGACAGCUUUGGACAGCCCUGCUGCUGAUCAGACAGGGAAGAUCCUGACAUUGUUAUCAGCAUUUGACGAGGCACAGAAAAGUGCCAAUCCAAGAUUAAACCCCAAAAUCACUGGACUCAAAGCUUAUGCCAAGAUGUUUGGGAAGACAGUCAAAACGGAGGGUUUGAAUGGAGGCCAGUCUAAUCCCCCUUUCCAUCAAGAAGGCACUGCUGAGCUGAGUGAGGAUCUCCUGGAAAUAAAUCCUUUACACGGAAAGAACUUCAGGAAAUCAGCACCGCAGGUACCCAAGAAAUCCAAGAAGAGAGCCUGCUUUUGGAAAUACUGCGUUCAGAAAAAGUAGGUUUUUCACCCUUCAAUCAACAGACCAUUGUGGUGACAGAGGAAUUUGACCCUGACAGAAGAAUCUUCAACAGCUGAAGACCUCUCCACACAACUGCUUAAUAAAGUAACUCUUUGACCAUAUUUGCCUUGCGUAUAAUAUGUAUUUAAAGGAGAAAUGUAAAAAUAUUUUUAUUUUAAAUUAUAAUAAAAUAAUUUUUGUACAAGC
Long non-coding RNA from Gavialis gangeticus (Gharial), 725 nucleotides. RefSeq lists it as uncharacterized. NCBI's taxonomy places the organism in Eukaryota, Metazoa, Chordata, Crocodylia, Gavialidae. The transcript has 5 exons. The record is from RefSeq and is a predicted model, not a curated record.